Molecule: non-coding RNA, 258 nt
Organism: Cinara cedri
Lineage: Eukaryota; Metazoa; Arthropoda; Insecta; Hemiptera; Aphididae
Source: the annotation of a GenBank genome assembly
AAUACAUACCAGCCAUGUUUAUUUUGUGUUUCAAAAGCACAUAGAAAUAAAUUACUUGAAUAAUUUAAGUAACUUAAAAAAGAAGUCCUAGUAUAAUGGGAACGGAUGCAACUGCUGUUAUAGAUAAUUCAAUACAUAGCUGUGAGAAACAAUAAACCAUUACUUCUGAAAAAAAACAAUUCUGAGCGGAGUUCAAUUGAUAGUGAUGCUUUGUCAACAAUAUAUACGUUAUUUUAUAGUAAACUAAUUAAAUAGGCC